RNAcentral lists this ribosomal RNA (331 nucleotides) under uncultured eukaryote. Its description in RNAcentral is "partial 18S ribosomal RNA". It matches the Rfam family "Eukaryotic small subunit ribosomal RNA", at positions 1470 to 1796 of the family's 1831-position model. The record is from RNAcentral.
CCCUUAGAUGUUCUGGGCCACACGCGCGUUACACUGAUGAAGCCAGCGAGUAUAUCGCCUUCACCGGAAGGUGCGGGUAAUCUUGUGAAACUUCAUCGUGCUGGGGAUAGACCAUUGCAAUUAUUGGUCUUGAACGAGGGAUUCCUAGUAAGCAUGAGUCAUCAACUCGUGCUGAUUACGUCCCUGCCCUUUGUACACACCGCCCGUCGCUACUACAGAGUGCCCGUGUCCAAGAAACGGUCGGACCUGCGCGGCCUCUCCGGGCGACCGGAGGGCCGUUACGGGGAAGACCCUUUAUUUGACGCGGGUCGAUGAAGUAAAAGUCGUAACA